CAGACCUGAGAGAGGUGACUCUGCUGAGUACAAGUUCGGAUUAUUAACAGAUCAGACCGGAGGGAAAUAUAUUGGCAGUCCUGGAGUCACUCUGUCUGUCACAGAUGUUGUGUUGGAGAUGGAUCCUACAUCUGUGUCAGAGAGGGAGAAUGUCACACUGAUAUGUAGAACCAAAUGUACACUGGACCCCAUCACAGCCUACAGUUGGUAUAAGAAUGGACAGCCUAUACCAAACAGCAACACCUCCUCUCCUGUCUAUAGCCUAUUCUCAGUCAGCAGUGAGGAUACAGGCCGAUACUCCUGUGCUGUAGAAGGCCAUGAGGAUCUCCCCUCUGCUGAAGAGACUCUCACUGUCACAUAUGGUCCAAGGAACACCUCAGUGUCAGUCAGUCCCUCUGGUGAAAUAAUGGAGGGCAGUUCAGUGACUCUGACCUGCAGCAGUGAAUCCAACCCACCUGUGGACAAAUACACCUGGUACAAGAAGAAUGUUACCUCAUCAAAAGCAUCAGGACAGAGUUACAGCAUCACUAACAUCAUCUCUGAGGACAGAGGAGAAUACUACUGUGAGGCUGAGAAUACAAUAGCAUCUA
Molecule: non-coding RNA, 590 nt
Organism: Salmo salar (Atlantic salmon)
Lineage: Eukaryota; Metazoa; Chordata; Actinopteri; Salmoniformes; Salmonidae
Source: RefSeq, a predicted model, not a curated record